RNAcentral lists this ribosomal RNA (305 nucleotides) under uncultured bacterium. RNAcentral's name for it is "bacterial SSU rRNA". It matches the Rfam family "Bacterial small subunit ribosomal RNA", at positions 334 to 634 of the family's 1533-position model. The record is from RNAcentral.
GUUUCCUACGGGGGGCAGCAGUGAGGAAUAUUGGUCAAUGGCCGCAGGGCUGAACCAGCCAAGUCGCGUGAGGGAUGACGGUCCUAUGGAUUGUAAACCUCUUUUGUCAGGGAGCAAAGGGCGCCACGUGUGGCGUUUUGCGAGUACCUGAAGAAAAAGCAUCGGCUAACUCCGUGCCAGCAGCCGCGGUCAUACGUAGGAUCCGAGCAUUAUCCGGAGUGACUGGGUGUAAAGAGUUGCGUAGGUGGCAUAAUAAGUAGCUAGUGAAAUCUGGUGGCUCAACCAUUCAGACUAUUAGCUAAACU